GUACUAACAGGCGCGAUCAUACCAGCACUAAUGCACCGGAUCCCAUCAGAACUCUGCAGUUAAGCGUGCUUGGGCGAGAGUAGUACUAGGAUGGGUGACCUCCCGGGAAGUCCUCGUGUUGCACUCCUUUUUUGUUCCUCUUGAUUCUUUUGUUUUUUUUUUUUAGGUCUUUUCAUUUGAAAUACAAGGCAUCUUUCGAACGACGCCAUUUCGAGAUCGUGUGGAACCACGCCUCCUAAAGCAACUUUUCGGAAAGCACCAAGUGUGCUCUCUGGCGUGUCCAAGGGUCUAAAGACCAUGGGUGCGCUUUACAAUGCCAAAAUUUUGAGUUUUAGACCCUCUUCCGGGCCCUUUUCUAAAACAUAAGCCCCGGUUUAAGUGUCGUCAAACGUGGUGUCCUAACUUAUAUAUCUUGGCAUGAAUGCUCGUCUCAGCUGGGCGGGAAAAGCCAUAUAAACAGUGCAACACAUGCGGAGAGAUUUCAUCGCGGACUCAAAGCCAAAGGAUAUAUGCUAUUGCGAUACAUAUACUAACGGAAAGCCCCAAGUGUGCUCUCUGGCGUGUCCAAGGGUCUAAAGCCCAUGGGUGCGGUUUACAAGGCCAAAAUUUUGAGUUUUAGACCCUCUUCCGGGCCCUUUUCUAAAACAUAAGCCCGGGUUUAAGUGUCGUCAAACGUGGUGUCCUAACUUAUAUAUCUUGGCAUGAAUGCUUGUCGCAGCUGGGCGGAAAAGCCAUAUAAACAGUGCAACACAUGAGAAGAGAUUCAUUGCGGACUCAAAGGCAAAGGAUAUGUGCUAUUGCGAUACAUAUACUAUCGGGUGCAAUCAUACCAGCACUAAUGCACCGGAUCCCAUCAGAACUCCGCAGUUAAGCGUGCUUGGGCGAGAGUAAUACUAGGAUGGGUGGCCUCCCGGGAAGUCCUCGUGUUUCACCCCUUUUUUGUUUCUCUUGAUUCUUUUUUUUUUUUAGGUCUUUUCAUUUGAAAUACAAGGCAUCUUUCGAACGACGCCAUUUCGAGAUCGUGUGGAACAACGCCUCCUACAGCAACUUUUAGGAAAGCCCCAAGUGUGCUCUCUAGCGUGACCAUGGGUGCAGUUUACAAGGCCAAAAUUUUGAAUUUUAGACCCUCUUCCGGGCCCUUUUCUAAAACAUAAGCCCCGGUUUAAGUGUCGUCAAACGUGGUGUCCUAACUUAUAUAUCUUGGCAUGAAUGCUCGUCUCAGCUGGGCGGGAAAAGCCAAAUAAACAGUGCAACACAUGCGAAGAGAUUUCAUCGCGGACUCAAAGCCAAAGGAUAUAUGCUAUUGCGAUACAUAUACUAAUGGGUGCGAUCAUACCAGCACUAAUGCUCCGAAUCCCAUCAGAACUCCACAGUAAAGCGUGCUUGGGCGAGAGUUGUACUAAGAUGGGUGACCUCCUUAGAAGUCCUCGUCUUGCACCACUUUUUUGUUCCUUUUGAUUCUUUGUUUUUUUUUGGGUCUUUUCAUUUGAAAAACAAGGCACCUUCCGAACGACGCCAUUUCUAGACCGUGUGGAACCAUGCCUCCUACAGCAACUUUUCGGAAAGCCCCAAGUGUGCUCUCUGACGUGUCCAAGGGUCUAAAGACCAUGGGUGUGGUUUACAAGGCCAAAAUUUUGAGUUUUAGAGCCUCUUCUGGGCCCUUUUCUAAAACAUAAGCCCCUGUUUAAGUGUCGUCAAACGUGGUGUCCUAAAUUAUAUAUCUUGGUAUGAAUGCUGGUCGCGGCUGGGCGGGAAAAGCCAUAUAAACAGUGCAACACAUGCGAAGAGAUUUCAUUGCGGACUCAAAACCAAAGGAUAUAUGCUAUUGCGAUACAUGUACUAACAGGCGCGAUCAUACCAGCACUAAUGCACCGGAUCCCAUCAGAAUUCUGCAGUUAAGCGUGCUUGGGCGAGAGUAGUACUAGGAUGGGUGACCUCCCGGGAAGUCCUCGUGUUGCACUCCUCUUUUGUUCCUCUUGAUUCUUUUGUUUUUUUUUUUAGGUCUUUUCAUUUGAAAUACAAGGCAUCUUUCGAACGACGCCAUUUCGAGAUCGUGUGGAACCACGCCUCCUAAAGCAACUUUUCGGAAAGCACCAAGUGUGCUCUCUGGCGUGUCCAAGGAUCUAAAGACCAUGGGUGCGGUUUACAAUGCCAAAAUUUUGAGUUUUAGACCCUCUUCCGGGCCCUUUUCUAAAACAUAAGACCCGGUUUAAGUGUCGUCAAACGUGGUGUCCUAACUUAUACAUCUUGGCAUGAAUGCUCGUCUCAGCUGGGCGGGAAAAGCCAUAUAAACAGUGCAACACAUGCGGAGAGAUUUCAUCGCGGACUCAAAGCCAAAGGAUAUAUGCUAUUGCGAUACAUAUACUAACGGAAAGCCCCAAGUGUGCUCUCUGGCGUGUCCAAGGGUCUAAAGCCCAUGGGUGCGGUUUACAAGGCCAAAAUUUUGAGUUUUAGACCCUCUUCCGGGCCCUUUUCUAAAACAUAAGCCCGGGUUUAAGUGUCGUCAAACGUGGUGUCCUAACUUAUAUAUCUUGGCAUGAAUGCUUGUCGCAGCUGGGCGGAAAAGCCAUAUAAACAGUGCAACACAUGAGAAGAGAUUCAUUGCGGACUCAAAGGCAAAGGAUAUGUGCUAUUGCGAUACAUAUACUAUCGG
Molecule: long non-coding RNA, 2653 nt
Filed under: Eutrema salsugineum
Lineage: Eukaryota; Viridiplantae; Streptophyta; Magnoliopsida; Brassicales; Brassicaceae
Source: RNAcentral